UGGGGGAUAUUGCACAAUGGGCGAAAGCCUGAUGCAGCGACGCCGCGUGGGGGAUGAAGGCCUUCGGGUUGUAAACUUCUUUUGCUCUGAACAAGGCAUGCCUUUGGGGUGUGUUGAGUGUAGGGGUUGAUUAGCGCCGGCUAACUACGUGCCAGCAGCCGCGGUAAUACGUAGGGCGCGAGCGUUGUCCGGAAUUAUUGGGCGUAAAGGGCUUGUAGGUGGCUGGUUGCGUCUGUCGUGAAAGCUCAUGGCUUAACUGUGGGUUUGCGGUGGGUACGGGCUGGCUUGAGUGCAGUAGGGGAGGCUGGAAUUCCUGGUGUAGCGGUGGAAUGCGCAGAUAUCAGGAGGAAUACCGGUGGCGAAGGCGGGUCUCUGGGCUGUUACUGACGCUGAGGAGCGAAAGCGUGGGGAGCGAAUAGG
Molecule: ribosomal RNA, 420 nt
Filed under: Fusobacteriota bacterium
Lineage: Bacteria; Fusobacteriati; Fusobacteriota
Description: Fusobacteria bacterium partial 16S ribosomal RNA
Rfam family: Bacterial small subunit ribosomal RNA
Source: RNAcentral